UACAUGCUGGAUCUAAACACAAUCGAUUGGCAAAUUCCUUCAGCCAGCAGAGAUAUAUCUGGAAUGUUGUCUAUAACGAAUAGAAUUCAGAGAAAUGUG
This is a long non-coding RNA of Daphnia pulicaria, 99 nucleotides long. RefSeq lists it as uncharacterized. The transcript is spliced from 3 exons. Lineage: Eukaryota; Metazoa; Arthropoda; Branchiopoda; Diplostraca; Daphniidae. The record is from RefSeq and is a predicted model, not a curated record.